AACUAACGCUAUUAUUGUUACAGUUUCUGUACUUUAUUGGUAUGGGAAGCUUCCAGAACAUCUAGUUCUGGCAAAUUUUGAACGGAAGCCCUCGGG
Molecule: unclassified non-coding RNA, 96 nt
Filed under: Lafontella mariadeanei
Lineage: Eukaryota; Euglenozoa; Kinetoplastea; Trypanosomatida; Trypanosomatidae
Description: spliced leader RNA
Source: RNAcentral